Molecule: ribosomal RNA, 576 nt
Filed under: uncultured bacterium
Lineage: Bacteria
Description: partial 16S ribosomal RNA
Rfam family: Bacterial small subunit ribosomal RNA
Source: RNAcentral
UGGGGAAUUUUGGACAAUGGGCGAAAGCCUGAUCCAGCAAUGCCGCGUGUGUGAAGAAGGCCUUCGGGUUGUAAAGCACUUUUGUCCGGAAAGAAAUCCUUGGCUCUAAUACAGUCGGGGGAUGACGGUACCGGAAGAAUAAGCACCGGCUAACUACGUGCCAGCAGCCGCGGUAAUACGUAGGGUGCAAGCGUUAAUCGGAAUUACUGGGCGUAAAGCGUGCGCAGGCGGUUUGCUAAGACCGAUGUGAAAUCCCCGGGCUCAACCUGGGAACUGCAUUGGUGACUGGCAGGCUAGAGUAUGGCAGAGGGGGGUAGAAUUCCACGUGUAGCAGUGAAAUGCGUAGAGAUGUGGAGGAAUACCGAUGGCGAAGGCAGCCCCCUGGGCCAAUACUGACGCUCAUGCACGAAAGCGUGGGGAGCAAACAGGAUUAGAUACCCUGGUAGUCCACGCCCUAAACGAUGUCAACUAGUUGUUGGGGAUUCAUUUCCUUAGUAACGUAGCUAACGCGUGAAGUUGACCGCCUGGGGGAGUACGGUCGCAAGAUUAAAACUCAAAGGAAUUGACGGGGUCAUA